Molecule: ribosomal RNA, 460 nt
Filed under: uncultured bacterium
Lineage: Bacteria
Description: partial 16S ribosomal RNA
Rfam family: Bacterial small subunit ribosomal RNA
Source: RNAcentral
CCUACGGGAGGCUGCAGUGAGGAAUAUUGGUCAAUGGACGCAAGUCUGAACCAGCCAAGUAGCGUGCAGGAUGACGGCCCUCCGGGUUGUAAACUGCUUUUAGUUGGGAAUAAAAGGGGGCUCGUGAGCCCCGUAUUGUAUGUACCAUCAGAAAAAGGACCGGCUAAUUCCGUGCCAGCGGCCGCGGUAAUACGGAAGGCCCGGGCGUUAUCCGGAUUUUUUGGGUUUAAGGGGUCGCAGGCGGAAGAUCAAGUCAGCGGUAAAAGUGAGAGGCUCAACCUCUUCGAGCCGUUGAAACUGGUAUUCUUGAGUGAGCGAGAAGUAUGCGGAAUGCGUGGUGUAGCGGUGAAAUGCAUAGAUAUCGCGCAGAACUCCGAUUGCGAAGGCAGCAUACCGGCGCUCAACUGACGCUCAUGCACGAAAGUGUGGGUAUCGAACAGGAUUAGAUACCCGUGUAGUC